UGUCUCGUAGCUCAGAGGUAGCAGCAACUAACUGUUAAUUAGAAAGUCGUAUGUUCGAUCCCUACCGAGACAGCCA
Molecule: transfer RNA, 76 nt
Filed under: Paenibacillus polymyxa
Lineage: Bacteria; Bacillati; Bacillota; Bacilli; Caryophanales; Paenibacillaceae
Also listed under: 1 other name
Description: tRNA-Asn
Rfam family: tRNA
About the family: Transfer RNA (tRNA) molecules are approximately 80 nucleotides in length. Their secondary structure includes four short double-helical elements and three loops (D, anti-codon, and T loops).
Source: RNAcentral